CCGGCCGUCUAUCUGAAUGUCAUAACGACUCUCGGCAACGGAUAUCUCGGCUCUCGCAUCGAUGAAGAACGUAGCGAAAUGCGAUACUUGGUGUGAAUUGCAGAAUCCCGUGAACCAUCGAGUCUUUGAACGCAAGUUGCGCCCGAAGCCGUCAGGCCGAGGGCACGUCUGCCUGGGCGUCACGCAUCGCGUCGCCCCCCCUCCCCUCGCACUGCGC
This 217-nucleotide ribosomal RNA is filed under the name Nepeta scrophularioides. Its description in RNAcentral is "5.8S ribosomal RNA". The stretch from base 27 to 182 matches the Rfam family "5.8S ribosomal RNA". From Rfam's summary of the family: 5.8S ribosomal RNA (5.8S rRNA) is a component of the large subunit of the eukaryotic ribosome. Lineage: Eukaryota; Viridiplantae; Streptophyta; Magnoliopsida; Lamiales; Lamiaceae. The record is from RNAcentral.